GACGAACGCUGGCGGCGUGCUUAACACAUGCAAGUCGAACGGUGAAGCCCUUCGGGGUGGAUCAGUGGCGAACGGGUGAGUAACACGUGAGCAACCUGCCCCUGGCUCUGGGACAACCACUGGAAACGGUGGCUAAUACCGGAUACGACCCGCCUCGGCAUCGAGUGAGGGUGGAAAGUUUUUCGGCUGGGGAUGGGCUCGCGGCCUAUCAGCUUGUUGGUGAGGUGAAGGCUCACCAAGGCGACGACGGGUAGCCGGCCUGAGAGGGCGACCGGCCACACUGGGACUGAGACACGGCCCAGACUCCUACGGGAGGCAGCAGUGGGGAAUAUUGCACAAUGGGCGAAAGCCUGAUGCAGCGACGCCGCGUGAGGGAUGACGGCCUUCGGGUUGUAAACCUCUUUCAGCUCCGAAGAAGCGAAAGUGACGGUAGGAGCAGAAGAAGCACCGGCUAACUACGUG
RNAcentral lists this ribosomal RNA (462 nucleotides) under uncultured bacterium. RNAcentral describes it as "partial 16S ribosomal RNA". It matches the Rfam family "Bacterial small subunit ribosomal RNA", at positions 28 to 507 of the family's 1533-position model. The record is from RNAcentral.